Molecule: ribosomal RNA, 400 nt
Filed under: phytoplankton environmental sample
Lineage: Eukaryota
Description: partial small subunit ribosomal RNA
Rfam family: Eukaryotic small subunit ribosomal RNA
Source: RNAcentral
AGCUCCAGUAGCGUAUAUUAAAGUUGUUGCAGUUAAAAAGCUCGUAGUUGGAUUUCUGACUUCAAACACCUGACCCUCCCUCGCUAGAGGUGUGUGUGCCGGAGUGUUUGUAUCAUCCUUUCAGUGAUCGGUUCUACCCUUAACCGGGUCGGAACUGCUAACUGGAUCUUUUACUUUGAAGAAAUUGGAGUGUUUAAAGCAGGCUUACGCCAGAACAUAUUAGCAUGGAAUAAUAAUUUAGGACUUUUGUUCUAUUUUGUUGGUUUCUAGGACGAAAGUAAUGAUUGAUAGGGAUAGUUGGGGGUGCUAGUAUUCGGCGGCCAGAGGUGAAAUUCUUUGAUCCGCUGAAGACUAACUUAUGCGAAAGCAUUCACCAAGGAUGUCUUCUUUAAUCAAGAAC